GACAGAGGUGCCGAGCGUUAGGCGGAAUCACUGGGCUUAAAGCGUGUGUAGGCGGGCCCGUAAGUACCUUGUGAAAUCCCACCGCUCAACGGUGGAACUGCUCGGUAUACUGCGGGUCUUGAGCCACCUAGGGGCAGCCGGAACAAGCGGUGGAGCGGUGAAAUGCGUAGAUAUCGGCAGGAACACCCGUGGCGGAAGCGGCCACCUAGCCCGCACCUGACGCUGAGGCGCGACAGCGUGGGGAGCGAACGGG
This 253-nucleotide ribosomal RNA is filed under the name uncultured bacterium. RNAcentral describes it as "partial 16S ribosomal RNA". It matches the Rfam family "Bacterial small subunit ribosomal RNA", at positions 524 to 776 of the family's 1533-position model. The record is from RNAcentral.